CUAUGCCCUAGGGCUAGUGGAAGACUUAAGAUGGCGGCGUUUGCACGGAGUGCAAUCACUGCGUCCUUACGGGGGUUGCAAGGCGUCCGAAGUAUGAGUCCACUAACAAAAGUCCAGAAACUCGCCAGUUAAUAGUAUUGUGUCUCUUCAAAAUAUCGGAGAAUAAUUUCUUUCUCGCUGAUCGCCUAACUUCUACUGACGAAGCUUGGAAGUUGCAGAAGGUUGGAGUGCAAUGGCGCGAUCUCGGCUGACUGCAACCUCCACCUCCUGGAUUCAAGCUAUUCUCCUGCCUCAGCCUGCCGAGUAGCUGGGAUUACAGGCAUGUGCCACCGCACCCAGCUAAUUUUGUAUUUUUUAGUAGAGAUGGGGUUUCUCCAUGUUGGUCAGGCUGGUCUUGAACUCCUGACCUCAGGUGAUCCGCCCACCUCAGCCUCCCAAAGUGCUGGGAUUACAGGCGUGAGCCACCGCGCCCGGCCAGAACAUUAGUUUUAAACUUCCUAACCCUUGGGAGAAGGCAAAACACUUGAUGAAAUCUACAUAAAGACUAAAACAUUUUACCAAUUUUGCAUUGUUUGUUUGAAAUUGCAUUGACGACUGGUACUGGCUCCUGUAUCACCCAGCUCUGGAGUUGAAAGAGCUCUUCAUUCCUGAGUCUCCUGUACCACUGAGAAUAGGCUGGAGUGCAGUGGCGCAAUCUCGGCUCUCUGCAACCUUCACCUCCCGUGUUCAAGUGAUUCUCCUGCCUCAGCCUCCUGAAUACCUGAGAUUACAAGCAUGCACCACCACGCCCGUCUAAUUUUGUAUUUUCACUAGAGACGGGGUUUCUCCAUGUUGGUCAGGCUGGUCUCGAACUCCCGACCUCAGGUGAUCCGCCCGCCUCAGCCUCCCAAAGUGCUGGGAUUACAGGCAUGAGCCACCGCGUCCAGCAAGAAUAGGUGAUUUUCAAACUUGGAAACAUUCAGAAGUUAUCGCCUCAGUUUCAGAUUGAGUAGUCUCAAAGAGAUUACAGACAUCUACCACAAAUUCUCUACUUGGUGUGGUGCAAAAUCAGUAUGAUGUAAACUUUGUCUCUCAGUUUCUUCAAAGGAAAGAAGCAACUGGAACACACAUAUAACACUAACCCUUCCAGCUGCAUUAUGAGGGACCAGUACCUGUCUCAAGGCAAAAUUAUGACUUAGUUCAUCCUCACCUCUGGAGGCCAGUAAAAGUGGGUUAUAGAAGAACAAAGAGGCAUCUAGAUCUUUCACUGGGUUAUUUGGAGAGAAACAUCUCCUACCGAAGGCCAGUUUAACAAGACUGGUAGAGGAGGUUAUCUUAUCUAAUUCACAGAAAUCAACACAUUGAGUCAAGAAAAAUGAAACACAGAAACACUCUAAAUAAAAGAAGAUAAGUCUUCAGAAACCAACCCUAAUGAAAUGAAGAUAUGUGAUUAACCUGACAGGAAAUUAAAAAGAGCAACCAUAAAGAGUCUCAUGGGAGCAAUGCAUGAACAAACUGAGAAUUUUCAUAAAGAAAUAAAAGAUAACAAAAAGUAUAAAGUUGAAGAAUACAAUAACUGGACUCAAAAAUUUAAUGUGUCCAACAGAAGAAUCGAUGAAGCAGAAGAAAGGGCUAUCAAACUUGUAGAUAGGCCAUUGGAAAUCAUGUAAUGUGAGGAGAAAAAAGAAAAAAGAUUGAAGAUAGUUUAAGAGACUUUUGAGACAUCCUCAAAGGGGAAUAAUUUAUACAUUACCAGAUGGAGAAGAUAGAGGGAAAAGGACAGAAAACAUAUUUGAAGAAAUAAUGUCAGAAAACCUCAUAAUUCUGGCAAGGAAAUAGAAAUUUAGAUCUAAGAAUCUCGAACAUCAGGUAUGAUGAAUCCAAGGAGACUCACACCAAACCAUAUUGUAAUUAAAUAAAGGUUAAAGACAAUCUUCAGAGCAGCAAGGGAAUAGUCUCUUCUUACAUACAAAAUGAUCCACGGAAGACUGUCAGCAGACUUCACCAGAAAACUUUCACGCCAGAAGGCAGUCGUGAUAUAUACAAAAAGCUGAAAGGAAAACACUGCCAUCCAGGAAUACUAUCUCCAACUAUCCUGUGUUUCAAAAAUUAAGGAGAAAUAUAAAGUUCUCAAACAAAAGAUGUGGGAGUUUACCACCACUAGACCUGCACGGGAAGAAUUGCUAAAGGGAGUCCUUCAAGCUGUAGUAAAAGAGUGCUAAUUAGAAACAUG
Molecule: long non-coding RNA, 2212 nt
Filed under: Homo sapiens (human)
Lineage: Eukaryota; Metazoa; Chordata; Mammalia; Primates; Hominidae
Description: non-protein coding JPX:3
Rfam family: JPX transcript, XIST activator conserved region 1 (bases 9-143)
Source: RNAcentral